CACACCGCCCGUCACACCACGAAAGCUCGCUGUACCAGAAAUCGGUGCGCCAACCGCAAGGAGGCAGCCGCUUAAGGAGUGACUGGUAACUGGGGUG
RNAcentral lists this ribosomal RNA (97 nucleotides) under uncultured bacterium. RNAcentral's name for it is "partial 16S ribosomal RNA". It matches the Rfam family "Bacterial small subunit ribosomal RNA", at positions 1386 to 1482 of the family's 1533-position model. The record is from RNAcentral.